Cyprinus carpio carpio is the source of this 4052-nucleotide long non-coding RNA. The record is from Ensembl. Lineage: Eukaryota; Metazoa; Chordata; Actinopteri; Cypriniformes; Cyprinidae.
GGAAGCUUUUAAGUACCAAGAGUAAUUUUAAGCAGUUCUUUAUAAGCUGACUAUGCUUUUUGAUAAUAAAUGAAUGUAGGCUAUUGUUCCCUCAUUUCUUUGUAUUUCCCCCAUAUUUGUUCAUUAAAUUAUUCUGAUGAAAUAAGAGCUGCAAGAACUUUUUGCAGCAAAAAUCAGUCUCACUGUUUGCUUCAGGCCAACAUUUACUUUGUGUCUAUCAAAUAAUAGCCAGUGUUUGCCAUAAGGCACACUGCAAUCAAAACACCCGGCAGCUAUUAAAAAUAAAGAUAAUGAUGAACGCCAAAUAAAGACACACUUUAACAGCAAUAUAUGACUCAAAUCAUCUGUUUCCAAGUGAAUGGGUUUUUUUUUUUUUUGCACCUAGUUCAGGUUUGAAUUAUGUCCCCGCACAUUAACACUCAUCACACACUCUCGCACCUUUAAAAGCACAGCUAAGCAACCUUAAUCUAUUUGGACACCAACAUACGAUAACUGCAAUUCCACAAUGCUGUAAUGCCUCCAGAAGAGCAUCUUGGUCGACACACACCUGUAAAAGCGGAUGGGAGGGUGUAAGUUAAAUGUCGGCAAUACGCCGUUUAAAAUGUGUUUUUCGUGGCUGGAGGACGAAUCACCAUAUUAAAGCAUCAAGCUUCCAGAUGCGCGCGAACGCGGAGGCGUGAAUACACACUUGCCAUAUGAGCCCAUUAAUAACAGCCACCAGGAGCUGCGCAGCAAGAACGCCGGAGAACUCCGGAACAUUACCAGCACAACAGCAAUAAAACGUAAACAUUAUACUCACCUCUUUUGUGUUGACGAUACCUCUGACGUAUUUACCCAAAACUGAGCCGACACAUAAAAUACUGGACACCACGGCGAGUCCUAAUACUUUCUCCAUCUUCACCUGUCCACCGUUGCGUUUCUGCGCUCUCCUCCCGAUGCUGUGUGUGUGUGUGUGUGUGUGUGAGAGAGAGAGAGCAGGAAUGCUGGAGAUCUGCCAGACGCGCGUCUCCGUUCUUCGCCUCAAAACGCAUGCAUCCCCAGAAUUUUCUCCGGGAGCGCGCCUGGUAUCGCACACGCGCUGCCGAUAUUUUAUUACAACAUAACAUUACACAAAUAAGCAUAUUUCUAUCGAUUUAAGCCCUUCCUUUAUAGAUUUAAUACGCUUUAUUAGUCAUGUUUUUUUGCGUUCUUUAUUCCGCCACACUACAAAAGGAAGCUAAACACAGAGAUGCAGAGAAAAUAUUUAUUCAAAUAUAAAUCAACACAGGGAAAAUACAUACUGCAGAAAAAUACAGUACUCUCAGUUAUCGUUCCCACAGUCCUCCCCUUCUCAAAAUACUCUGUCGAGGAAAAAAACAACAUGAGAGUGUAAUUAUGAUCUCUCUAUACAAUAAAUCUAAUCUAUGCAUAUACAGUACAUUCCAAAUACACAGGUUUGCACUUAUGGUGUCUUUACAUGAGGAAUAAUAAUAACAACAACAAUAACAAAAAUAUCAACAACAAUAAUAAUUAUUAUUAUUACUAUUACUAAUAUAAUACUAUAAAUAUUAUUGCUAAAAUUAUAAAAUAAAUAAUAAACAAUAAAUUAUUGCUAUUAUAAUAAUAAUCAUAUAAUAAUUAAUAUAAUAAUUAAUAGUUCAUAUUAAAAAUAAUCACAUAAUCAUAAAGAAAACAACUCAGCCAGCUGAAACCUCCAUGUCACACUAUAUGUGACCCUGGACCACAAAACCAGUCAUAGGGGGCAUUUUUUUUUAAUUGAGAUUUAUACAUUAUACAUCAUGAAUAAAUAAGCUUUCAAUUGAUGUAUGGUUUGUUAGGACAAUAUUUGGCUGAGAUACAACUAUUUGAAAAUCUGGAAUCUGAGGGUGCAAAAAAAUAUUGAGAAAAUCGUCUUUAAAGAUGUCCAAAUUCAGUUCUUAAUGCAUAUUACUAAUCAAAAAUUAAGUUUUGAUAUAUUCACGGUAGGAAAUUUACAAAAUAUCUUCAAGGAACAUGAUCUUUACUUAAUAUCCUACUGAUUUUUGGCAUAAAAGAAAAAGCGAUAAUUUUGACCCACACAGUAUAUUGUUGGCUAUUGCUACAAAUAUAUCUGUGCUACUUAUGACUAGUUUCGUGGCCCAGGGUCAAAUAUGCUGCUGUUUACACUUAACUAUAAAGUGCUUAUUUGCAGAGAUUGUCCUGAAAACAUCAGGUCUAACUGAAUGCAAAAAGUUUGCCUGGGACAUAUUGUGCAGUCUGCUUGGAUUUUGUAUCACUCAAUGACGGCAGUGAAAAUGAGGAGAGAAUAGACAUUAGCACCCUUGCAAAUGAUACUGCAGUGGUCAAUACAGGCUGCACUUAAAGAGUGUAACAUCACCGUCAGUGGACUUCAAGAGGACAGGAGCUCAAAACCACUUGCAGCAAAUCAAUUCUGACAAAACAAAACACCAACCUACUGAUUAAAACUCCAAGUCAGUGACAGAUUGACUAUUAGUCUUGAGAACAGAUGUAAAAUGCAGUGACAUGACUCAGUGGGCUUGUGUCUCUGAGGGGAGAUGAUGCGGCACAGUUUCGCCUCAGUAACACGGGUAUAGCCAUUUAAACAGGACUAAAUUAACAUGGUGUUUUACAUAACACUCUUGAGAUGAAUGAGUAAUCUCUCUCCAAAAGGAGGCAGUUUGAGAGUCACACAUACAAAAAAACAAAAAGUGAAAAAAAGAAAAAAAAAAACAGGUGGAAAUGCUCAGCAGUGAAUUCAAGGUUACAUUGUCCAACCCAAAAUGCAAAAAGAAAAAAAAGACUCGACUGGAACGGAUAACCAGAGGGCGUCAGUGUCUUAUCAUUCCUGUCCUAGUUCUGGUUGUUUUAGUCAUGGUUCCAUGAAGGGACUACACACAAUGGCCUUCGCAUCUACUAGCACAAUGGCAUCGAGAAGCUUUUUCAUGCACCACUAUAACACAAAGUGCGACAAACAAGUUUCUGAACAUGCACAUACUGACUGAAACAGGAACCAUCUGACAAAAAUACCCAGAAGCACAAAUGACUGGACAUGUGUAACAUACGCACGUCAACAGAAUCUGCAGAGUAACCAAGAUUUGGUAUUUCAAAUCUGUCACCACAAAGGAGCAGCUCUGACACGGUGAAAAGAGCAAGCAAGCAAAUCUUUUGAUAUCGUGACACUCUUAUAAAAUAACUCUCAAAUGCUGCAAUCAGCAGAUGGAGCAUUGUUUUCUCUCAGCACAUAGCUCUGGAUUAAUCCAAUCACAGACACACCGAUAAAGAAGAGGCUUUUGCCGGGGAUAUAUAAAGUCCCAAAAGACAUGUCGCGUUGUGCCACUUAGCUGAGCAUAGCUUAAAAUGACAUUAAGUGGAGUUAUAACUCGUUUCAUAAUAAAGUUGACAAUACUUUAAAUAGGAUAUGUGCUCUGUAUAAACACACUCAGCAAAGCUGUGCACACAAAGGCCCAAACCUCCCAUAUAGCGCUAAUAAACUUCAUGGAGUGGCAAAAUGUUGGGUUUUUUUUUUUUUGGAGCGUCAAUAGAGUCAAUUAGUGCCAGAGAAAGAGGAAGCCUGAUUCAAAUAGAGACACGCUAUCACAGCAGUAUGCAUCACACAUGUGCAAGCUGAAAGAUUUCAUUGGCUCAAGGUUGCUGGGUGUUAAGGGAGUCUGCUUAAAAUACCUCUAGGACAGGCUGGGUGAGAACUGAAGAGUGUGCUCAAAAUGGGUCAGCGUGCACAGGGACAGAUGACACAAUUGUUAACAAACGGAAACAAACUGAAGACUGAAGGAACUAGGGAUAGGGAAAAGUAAUGGAAACUUGUGCUGACAGGUCAGAGAAUGACCCAGAGGUGGUGAUGGAGUGUCCAGUUUUUAAAUCAGUAUAUAUAUAUUCUUGUCUUUUUGACAAGCAAACUAAUCUAUAGUUUAACUUUAUGGAUAAAUGUGGUUAUAGUAUGAUUAUGAUAAACAAACAAAUCUUAACAAGUCAAAUUAUGCCACUUCAACACCACUUAAGACUUCAAAGGUAAAUUCAUCCAAACACUGAAAAUUCUGGCAUUAUUUAUUCACUUU